This 301-nucleotide ribosomal RNA is filed under the name uncultured bacterium. RNAcentral describes it as "partial 16S ribosomal RNA". It matches the Rfam family "Bacterial small subunit ribosomal RNA", at positions 509 to 808 of the family's 1533-position model. The record is from RNAcentral.
CAGUAGCCACGGGAAUACGAAGGGGGCUAGCGUUGCUCGGAAUGACUGGGCGUAAAGGGCGCGUAGGCGGUUUGUACAGUUGGAUGUGAAAUUCCUGGGCUUAACCUGGGGGCUGCAUUCAAUACGUGCAGGCUUGAGUGUGGAAGAGGGUUGUGGAAUUCCCAGUGUAGGGGUGAAAUUCGUAGAUAUUGGAAGAACACCGGUGGCGAAGGCGGCAACCUGGUCCAUUACUGACGCUGAGGCGCGAAAGCGUGGGGAGCAAACAGGAUUAGAUACCCCAGUAGUCCCUGUCUCUUAUACA